UACGAAGGGGGCUAGCGUUGCUCGGAAUGACUGGGCGUAAAGGGCGCGUAGGCGGUACUUCAAGUCAGGCGUGAAAGCCCCGGGCUCAACCUGGGAACCGCGCUUGAGACUGGAGAACUAGAGUUCGGGAGAGGAUGGUGGAAUUCCCAGUGUAGAGGUGAAAUUCGUAGAUAUUGGGAAGAACACCGAUGGCGAAGGCAGCCAUCUGGACCGACACUGACGCUGAGGCGCGAAAGCGUGGGGAGCAAACAGG
Molecule: ribosomal RNA, 253 nt
Filed under: uncultured bacterium
Lineage: Bacteria
Description: partial 16S ribosomal RNA
Rfam family: Bacterial small subunit ribosomal RNA
Source: RNAcentral